This 468-nucleotide ribosomal RNA is filed under the name uncultured bacterium. Its description in RNAcentral is "partial 16S ribosomal RNA". It matches the Rfam family "Bacterial small subunit ribosomal RNA", at positions 28 to 507 of the family's 1533-position model. The record is from RNAcentral.
GACGAACGCUGGCGGCGUGCUUAACACAUGCAAGUCGAACGGAAAGGCCCUGCUUUUGUGGGGUGCUCGAGUGGCGAACGGGUGAGUAACACGUGAGUAACCUGCCCUUGACUUUGGGAUAACUUCAGGAAACUGGGGCUAAUACCGGAUAGGAGCUCCUGCUGCAUGGUGGGGGUUGGAAAGUUUCGGCGGUUGGGGAUGGACUCGCGGCUUAUCAGCUUGUUGGUGGGGUAGUGGCUUACCAAGGCUUUGACGGGUAGCCGGCCUGAGAGGGUGACCGGCCACAUUGGGACUGAGAUACGGCCCAGACUCCUACGGGAGGCAGCAGUGGGGAAUAUUGCACAAUGGGCGGAAGCCUGAUGCAGCAACGCCGCGUUCGGGAUGACGGCCUUCGGGUUGUAAACCGCUUUCGCCUGUGACGAAGCGUUAGUGACGGUAAUGGGUAAAGAAGCACCGGCUAACUACGUG